This 496-nucleotide ribosomal RNA is filed under the name uncultured bacterium. RNAcentral describes it as "partial 16S ribosomal RNA". It matches the Rfam family "Bacterial small subunit ribosomal RNA", at positions 29 to 507 of the family's 1533-position model. The record is from RNAcentral.
AUGAACGCUGGCGGCGUGCCUCAUCCAUGCAAGUCGCGCGAACAGACGAGGAGCUUGCUCCUCUGACGUUAGCGGCGGACGGGUGAGUAACACGUGGAUAACCUACCUAUAAGACUGGGAUAACUUCGGGAAACCGGAGCUAAUACCGGAUAAUAUAUUGAACCGCAUGGUUCAAUAGUGAAAGACGGUUUUGCUGUCACUUAUAGAUGGAUCCGCGCCGCAUUAGCUAGUUGGUAAGGUAACGGCUUACCAAGGCAACGAUGCGUAGCCGACCCGAGAGGGUGAUCGGCCACACUGGAACUGAGACACGGUCCAGACUCCUACGGGAGGCAGCAGUAGGGAAUCUUCCGCAAUGGGCGAAAGCCUGACGGAGCAACGCCGCGUGAGUGAUGAAGGUCUUCGGAUCGUAAAACUCUGUUAUUAGGGAAGAACAAAUGUGUAAGUAACUAUGCACGUCUUGACGGUACCUAAUCAGAAAGCCACGGCUAACUACGUG